UACGUAGGGUGCAAGCGUUAAUCGGAAUUACUGGGCGUAAAGCGUGCGCAGGCGGUUAUGUAAGACAGGUGUGAAAUCCCCGGGCUUAACCUGGGAACUGCAUUUGUGACUGCAUAGCUAGAGUACGGUAGAGGGGGAUGGAAUUCCGCGUGUAGCAGUGAAAUGCGUAGAUAUGCGGAGGAACACCGGUGGCGAAGGCAAUCCCCUGGACCUGUACUGACGCUCAUGCACGAAAGCGUGGGGAGCAAACAGG
Molecule: ribosomal RNA, 253 nt
Filed under: uncultured bacterium
Lineage: Bacteria
Description: partial 16S ribosomal RNA
Rfam family: Bacterial small subunit ribosomal RNA
Source: RNAcentral